RNAcentral lists this long non-coding RNA (406 nucleotides) under Ursus americanus (American black bear). RNAcentral's name for it is "lncRNA (ENSUAMG00000003899.1)". The record is from RNAcentral. Lineage: Eukaryota; Metazoa; Chordata; Mammalia; Carnivora; Ursidae.
AAUUCGAUGAUUAACUUUUUAAAAAGUGCUUGAGGUGGGAGGAUGAGUGGCUGGCUUGCCUUUAGAUUUUGAGAUCUUCCCUCCUUCUUGCCUCCGUUUAGCACCACCAAGCCUCCCUGGAAUGGUACUUCCCAGAUCUUGGAUUGAGGGAUGAAGUAGGAUUUCACCUCACUUGUUCUCAGAGAAUCUUUUAACUGCAUUUUAUUAAUGCUUUUGAAGAGUAGAAGAUAUUUUGCCUUCUGGAGUUUCUCUGACUUGCUGAUGGUCUAAGCUCAAAGCUGCCAGUUUAGGGGGGGUGAUCAAUAACUCCCUGUAACAUCUGAGUAAGUAGAGAUGCUGCUGUGUGUUGUGUUUAACUGCUGAAGAAAAAAAUAAAAUUUUGUGACUUUAAAGGUUUUUAAAGUAU